Molecule: ribosomal RNA, 403 nt
Filed under: Vanrija musci
Lineage: Eukaryota; Fungi; Basidiomycota; Tremellomycetes; Trichosporonales; Trichosporonaceae
Description: eukaryotic LSU rRNA
Rfam family: Eukaryotic large subunit ribosomal RNA
Source: RNAcentral
UCUGGCUGUCUUCGAUAGUCCGAGUUGUAAUCUAUAGACGUGUUUUCCGUGCUGGACCGUAUCUAAGUCCCUUGGAACAGGGUAUCAAAGAGGGUGACAAUCCCGUGCUUGAUACGACCACCAGUGCUCUGUGAUACACGCUCUACGAGUCGAGUUGUUUGGGAAUGCAGCUCAAAAUGGGUGGUAAAUUCCAUCUAAAGCUAAAUAUUGGCGAGAGACCGAUAGCGAACAAGUACCGUGAGGGAAAGAUGAAAAGCACUUUGGAAAGAGAGUUAAACAGUACGUGAAAUUGUUGAAAGGGAAACGAUUGAAGUCAGUCGUGUUCUUUGGAUUCAGCUAGUUCUUCUAGUCUACUUCCAUUGAACGGGUCAACAUCAGUUUUGUCCGGUGGAUAAAGAUAGUA